GACGAACGCUGGCGGCGUGCCUAAUACAUGCAAGUCGAGCGAGAUUAUUUGAGUGCUUGCACUCGAAUAAUCUAGCGGCGGACGGGUGAGUAACACGUGGGUAACCUGCCCUCAAGCAGGGGAUAACACUUGGAAACAGGUGCUAAUACCGUAUAACAACAAAAACCGCAUGGUUUUUGUUUGAAAGAUGGUUUCGGCUAUCACUUGAGGAUGGACCCGCGGCGUAUUAGCUAGUUGGUGAGGUAAUGGCUCACCAAGGCAAUGAUACGUAGCCGACCUGAGAGGGUAAUCGGCCACAUUGGGACUGAGACACGGCCCAAACUCCUACGGGAGGCAGCAGUAGGGAAUCUUCCACAAUGGACGAAAGUCUGAUGGAGCAACGCCGCGUGAGUGAAGAAGGGUUUCGGCUCGUAAAACUCUGUUGUUAAAGAAGAACAGGUGUAAGAGUAACUGUUUACACCGUGACGGUAUUUAACCAGAAAGCCACGGCUAACUACGUGCCAGCAGCCGCCGUAA
Molecule: ribosomal RNA, 516 nt
Filed under: uncultured bacterium
Lineage: Bacteria
Description: bacterial SSU rRNA
Rfam family: Bacterial small subunit ribosomal RNA
Source: RNAcentral